UGGGAGCUUCGGAGUGGCAUAUACUGUAUAGCUCGACAGAGAAAGAGAAAAAUUGUUAGUUAGGACUCUAGCUGCUGCGUUCUGGACUAACUGGAGCUUGUUUAUACUCCUACUGGAACAUCCAGACAGUAAAGCAUUACAAUAAUCCAACCUAGAGAUCUCAUCCCAUCUUUGGUGCUUCUGCUCUAGUAUCAUCAAUAUCACCUGAU
This is a long non-coding RNA of Tachysurus vachellii, 209 nucleotides long. RefSeq lists it as uncharacterized. NCBI's taxonomy places the organism in Eukaryota, Metazoa, Chordata, Actinopteri, Siluriformes, Bagridae. The transcript is spliced from 3 exons. The record is from RefSeq and is a predicted model, not a curated record.